CGUGUAGGCGGAUCCAGAAGUCGGGUGUGAAAGCCCUGGGCUUAACCCAGGAAGUGCGCCCGAAACCAUGGGUCUUGAGGUCCGGAGGGGAUCGGGGAAUUCCCAGUGUAGAGGUGAAAUUCGUAGAUAUUGGGAGGAACACCGGUGGCGAAGGCGCCGAUCUGGACGGAUUCUGACGCUGAGACGCGAAAGCGUGGGUAGCAAACA
This 207-nucleotide ribosomal RNA is filed under the name uncultured Pseudomonadota bacterium. RNAcentral's name for it is "uncultured proteobacterium partial 16S ribosomal RNA". It matches the Rfam family "Bacterial small subunit ribosomal RNA", at positions 568 to 774 of the family's 1533-position model. Lineage: Bacteria; Pseudomonadati; Pseudomonadota. The record is from RNAcentral.